UACGGGGGGGGCAAGCGUUGUUCGGAAUUACUGGGCGUAAAGGGCUCGUAGGUGGCCAACUAAGUCAGACGUGAAAUCCCUCGGCUUAACCGGGGAACUGCGUCUGAUACUGGAUGGCUUGAGUUCGGGAGAGGGAUGCGGAAUUCCAGGUGUAGCGGUGAAAUGCGUAGAUAUCUGGAGGAACACCGGUGGCGAAGGCGGGUCUCUGGGCAGUAACUGACGCUGAGGAGCGAAAGCAUGGGGAGCGAACAGG
RNAcentral lists this ribosomal RNA (253 nucleotides) under uncultured bacterium. Its description in RNAcentral is "partial 16S ribosomal RNA". It matches the Rfam family "Bacterial small subunit ribosomal RNA", at positions 524 to 776 of the family's 1533-position model. The record is from RNAcentral.